CUCAAUUCUAAUCUAAUUAGGAGUCUUAAUCAAUUUAAAAAUAAUAGUAAAAUAGAGAUUCUACUCUAUAUAGGAAAUAUUCUUCUAUCUUAUUGAGAAAUAUUUCUCCUACUUAAAUUAGGAAAAUAUCUUUCCAAAUCCUACUAGGAUUUUGAGUUAUAAUUCUAACAAUCUCCACCUUGACUCUAAAUCCAUAAACCAUUGCAUACCUCGAAUUCUUGAGUGCCUUCAAUCAUUAUAUCUCCAUGCUUGAG
RNAcentral lists this unclassified non-coding RNA (254 nucleotides) under Hevea brasiliensis (rubber tree). The record is from RNAcentral. Lineage: Eukaryota; Viridiplantae; Streptophyta; Magnoliopsida; Malpighiales; Euphorbiaceae.